This 482-nucleotide ribosomal RNA is filed under the name uncultured bacterium. RNAcentral's name for it is "partial 16S ribosomal RNA". It matches the Rfam family "Bacterial small subunit ribosomal RNA", at positions 28 to 507 of the family's 1533-position model. The record is from RNAcentral.
GAUGAACGCUCGCGGCAGGCCUAAUACAUGCAAGUCGAACGAGAUUAAGAGGCUUGCUUCUUAUGAAAGUGGCGCACGGGUGCGUAACGCGUAUGCAACCUACCUUAAUCAGGGGGAUAGCCCGAAGAAAUUCGGAUUAAGACCGCAUAAAAACACAGGAUAGCAUUAUCCAAUGUUCAAAUAUUUAUAGGAUUAAGAUGGGCAUGCGUGUCAUUAGCUAGUUGGCGGGGUAACGGCCCACCAAGGCGACGAUGACUAGGGGAUCUGAGAGGAUGACCCCCCACACUGGUACUGAGACACGGACCAGACUCCUACGGGAGGCAGCAGUAAGGAAUAUUGGUCAAUGGAGGGAACUCUGAACCAGCCAUGCCGCGUGCAGGAAGACAGCCCUCUGGGUCGUAAACUGCUUUUAUUCGGGAAUAAACCUUUCUACGUGUAGGAAGCUGAAUGUACCGAAGGAAUAAGGAUCGGCUAACUCCGUG